RNAcentral lists this ribosomal RNA (445 nucleotides) under uncultured bacterium. Its description in RNAcentral is "partial 16S ribosomal RNA". It matches the Rfam family "Bacterial small subunit ribosomal RNA", at positions 354 to 796 of the family's 1533-position model. The record is from RNAcentral.
GUAGGGAAUAUUGGGCAAUGGAUGCAAGUCUGACCCAGCCAUCCCGCGUGCCGGAAGAAGGCCCUCAGGGUUGUAAACGGCUUUUGACGGUGAAGAAUCGACAGGAUGCGUCCUGUUUUGACGGUAGCCGUUGAAUAAGCACCGGCUAACUCCGUGCCAGCAGCCGCGGUAAUACGGAGGGUGCGAGCGUUGUCCGGAUUUAUUGGGUUUAAAGGGUGCGUAGGCGGGAAGGUCAGUCAGCGGUGAAAAGCUGUCGCUUAACGAUAGUCUUGCCGCAGAUACUUCCUUUCUUGGAUGAGGAGGAGGCCACUGGAACGGAUGGUGUAGCGGUGAAAUGCAUAGAUAUCAUCCAGAACACCGAUUGCGAAGGCAGGUGGCUGUACCUUAAUCGACGCUGAUGCACGAAAGCAUGGGGAGCAAACAGGAUUAGAAACCCUUGUAGUCC